AAGAGCCGCUGAGUGGGGAGGAGAGAGGGACAGAGAGCCUGCUUGCUUUAAAGGAGCAAAGCAGGAGAGGAGAGGAGCCGCUUACACGAGUGUAAGCGGCUCCUGUCCGGUUGGCUCCUUUAAAGCAAGCAGGCUCUCUGUCCCUCUCUCCUCCCCACUCAGCUGGCUAA
This 170-nucleotide microRNA precursor is filed under the name Podarcis lilfordi (Lilford's wall lizard). Lineage: Eukaryota; Metazoa; Chordata; Lepidosauria; Squamata; Lacertidae. The record is from RNAcentral.